This 510-nucleotide ribosomal RNA is filed under the name uncultured bacterium. Its description in RNAcentral is "bacterial SSU rRNA". It matches the Rfam family "Bacterial small subunit ribosomal RNA", at positions 9 to 509 of the family's 1533-position model. The record is from RNAcentral.
GAGUUUGAUCCUGGCUCAGGAUGAACGCUAGCUACAGGCUUAACACAUGCAAGUCGAGGGGCAGCAUAUCGAAAGCUUGCUUUUGAUGAUGGCGACCGGCGCACGGGUGAGUAACGCGUAUCCAACCUUCCCUAUACUAGAGGAUAGCCCGGCGAAAGUCGGAUUAAUACUCUAUGUUGUAUUUAGAAGACAUCUGAAGAAUACCAAAGGUUUACCGGUAUAGGAUGGGGAUGCGUCUGAUUAGGUUGUUGGCGGGUAACGGCCCACCAAGCCUACGAUCAGUAGGGGUUCUGAGAGGAAGGUCCCCCACAUUGGAACUGAGACACGGUCCAAACUCCUACGGGAGGCAGCAGUGAGGAAUAUUGGUCAAUGGACGAGAGUCUGAACCAGCCAAGUAGCGUGCAGGAUGACGGCCCUAUGGGUUGUAAACUGCUUUUAUAUAGGGAUAAAGUGCACUACGUGUAGUGUUUUGUAGGUACUAUAUGAAUAAGGACCGGCUAAUUCCGUGCC